AAGAACUUUCUUUGUGCAGGAGGCUCACAACUGCAGAAGUUUUGUGCUGGCUGGGUAGACAGAAGAUCCUAUUCUUCUGGAAGAAUUACAUGGACAGUGUUACAGAGGUCCAGCUCAUCAUUUUUUAGCUAUGGUAAUUUAACUGUACAUGAUUCAAUUCAGAAUUUCUGAAUUUCAAUUCAGAUAAUCUGUGUUAAUCAGCACAACUAAAACUGUUUUCCUAGAUAAAGGUCCAGAAGACUGGUUGGCUUUUCCAGGUUUAUUGACAGUGUGAGGACGAUCAGAUCUGAACACUUCUAGUAGUGAUAAACAUACUAUGAAGCAUGAUGCAGAAAUGCAACAUAAUAUCCAAAAAAACCCUCCUUUUGUGUAAGCAAUAAAAAACAUGGCCAACAAAUGAA
Long non-coding RNA from Serinus canaria (Common canary), 401 nucleotides. RefSeq lists it as uncharacterized. NCBI's taxonomy places the organism in Eukaryota, Metazoa, Chordata, Aves, Passeriformes, Fringillidae. The transcript has 2 exons. The record is from RefSeq and is a predicted model, not a curated record.